UUACUCUGGUUUCUUUUCAUAACGCGAACAAGUCUUUCGCCUUUACUAAAGACUUCCGUGGAGAGGAACACAAAAUGAGUUGAACCUAUUUUUGGUGGGCUCUGCCAUUUGGCUGAGCC
Molecule: small nuclear RNA, 119 nt
Organism: Perca fluviatilis (European perch)
Lineage: Eukaryota; Metazoa; Chordata; Actinopteri; Perciformes; Percidae
Product: U5 spliceosomal RNA
Exons: 1
Source: RefSeq, a predicted model, not a curated record